This 1383-nucleotide ribosomal RNA is filed under the name Triticum aestivum (bread wheat). RNAcentral's name for it is "partial small subunit ribosomal RNA". The record is from RNAcentral. Lineage: Eukaryota; Viridiplantae; Streptophyta; Magnoliopsida; Poales; Poaceae.
AUGGCCAAGAGCCCCAAGGCGACCACCAGCCGGCGGCCCACCAGAAAACCGCGGGCCUCCCCCGCUGCCGUGCCCCCCUCGGCGGACAUCGAGGACCUGGCGCCGUCGGGUGUCCUGGCGGGGCCCACCUCGGCGGCGCCCGCGCUGCGCUCGGGGUUGCUCCGGUGGUACGACGCGCACCGGCGCGACCUUCCGUGGCGAUUCUCCGCGGCGCCGGGGCGCGAGGGCAGGGAGAAGAGGGCGUAUGCGGUGUGGGUGUCGGAGGUGAUGCUGCAGCAGACGAGGGUGCCCGUCGUCAUCGAUUACUACUCCCGGUGGAUGGCGCGGUGGCCCACCGUGGAGACCCUCGCCGCCGCCACUCAGGAGGAGGUGAAUGAGAUGUGGGCCGGUCUUGGGUACUACCGGAGGGCACGCUUUCUUCUGGAGGGAGCAAACCAGAUUGUGGAAAAGGGGGAAUUCCCUAGCACAGCAUCAACACUUCGUCAGGUUCGCGGCAUCGGGGAUUACACAGCAGGCGCCAUUGCCUCCAUAGCCUUCAAUGAGGUCACCCCACUUGUGGAUGGAAAUGUUGUACGUGUUAUCAGCAGACUUUUUGCUAUUGCUGAUAACCCAAAAGAAUCAUCAACAGUAAAGAGAUUCUGGGAGCUCGCUGGUCAACUGGUCGAUCCAUCAAGGCCAGGAGACUUCAACCAAGCAAUGAUGGAACUAGGAGCAACAUUGUGCAGCAAGACUAAGCCUGAUUGCUCCCAGUGCCCUGUCUCUGGCCACUGCCAAGCGCUUGCGCUUUCCCAUGAAAAUCCGUUGGUCGGAGUUACAGACUACCCACGGGUGGUUCCGAAAGCUAAACCGCGUCGUGAUUUCGCUGCUGUUUGUGUUGUUCAAAUUGCACAAGGCUUGGAGCAAGAGACGGCAGCCGGCAAAUGUAAUUCCUUUCUCUUGAUAAAGAGGCCAGAAGAGGGCCUGCUUGCAGGGCUCUGGGAGUUCCCAUCGGUUCUUGUUGACGAACGUAAGACCGACCCGCUCAACAGGAGAAAAGAGAUGGAUAGGUAUUUGAAGCAGUUGGUUGACAUAGAUGUUGAACAGGAAUCCAAUCUGGUCCUCAGGGAGGAUGUUGGUCAGCAUGUUCACAUUUUCUCCCACAUUCGCUUGACGAUGCAUGUGGAGCUGAUGGUUCUCAAGAUCAAAGGUGAUGUGGGUCAAGUAUGCAACAAGGGACAAGGUAGCACGAAACUGAAACUUGUCGAUGAAAGUUCAAUCGAUUCCAUGGGCUUGACAUCGGGAAUUCGGAAGGUUUACAAUAUGGUGAAGGCUUUCAAGGAGAAAAAACUAUUGGAGCAAAGCCAAAUGCCCACGAGGAAAAGGAGCAGACGGCAAAAGCAGUAA